This 2238-nucleotide long non-coding RNA is filed under the name Theobroma cacao (cacao). Its description in RNAcentral is "long non-coding RNA (TCAC_LNC003793)". The record is from RNAcentral. Lineage: Eukaryota; Viridiplantae; Streptophyta; Magnoliopsida; Malvales; Malvaceae.
UCGGCCAAAGAGAGAAAAAGAAAAAAAAAGAAGAACAAAAACCCUAGAGAGAAAAAUUCAAAGGGAAAUUGUUGAUUUUCAAGGAAUCAAGCCAUUAAAGGUAAAAUUUCUUAAUUCUAGCUUGUGAUCUAUCUUUCUUAUGCAUUAUUUUGCAUUUUCCAUGGUUGAAUCACAAGAUAUCAUGAAGGAUAGUGUGCUGAUCAAACCUUAGGAGAGAGAAUUUGAUGCUGAAUUUAGUUAGAAAACAUGUUAUUUUAGUGUUUUUAGUUGUUUGGUGAUGUGUAGUAUGAAAAGCAAGCAAGAAAAAUUCUUGUUCUUACAUCACAUUCAUUGGCUGAAUAUUCCAUGUGGAAUAUUGAUGAUGAAUUUGAUUGAAUUUCAAGUGAUUUGAUUAGGAAUGAAUGAUUUAUGGUGUGAGAAUCAAGCAUGAAAAAUUAUAUUGUUAGUGCACUCACCAUGGCUGAUUUUUUCAAGGGAAAAUGUGAGGAUGAUUUUGCCACAUUUCAAUUUAUUUAGAUUAUGUUUAAUGAUUUGGAGUAUUAGGAGAGAAAUGGAAUUGUUUGGAGUUGAAUUGGACGUUUUGGCCAAUUAAUCGGGUGAUAGCUCGAAUUAGGCCAAUACCAUUUUAUUUAGGUACAUAAUUGAAUUUAUGCUGAACACCGUAUUUAGAUAGUUACCCGAGUAUUUCUCAUCUCAUUUCAUGCAUUAGUAUAGAGCCUGAAUUGGUUUUACAACGGUUUAGCACAAAUGUAGCAAAUUGCUUAUUGUGCAUUAUGUCUAGGUGGUGAGCAUUCUAGCAAGAGUAAAGAGGUAGUAUCCAAGGAUCAAGAAUCAGAGUAUCCCGAAUUCAAUUCCCAUUACAGUGAGUAACCUUAUUAUCAUCUUAAUUAUCUAAAGUAUGUUUUUAUUCGAUUUUGUAAUUUUAUGGAAAAUCUGUUUAAAUGAUAUGAUUUUAUAAAUUGUUUUGAAAUUUAAUGAUGACUUGAAAAUGGAGUAAUUGGAGACUACUUGCUAUAUUGUAAAUUAUGUUUUGAAUUGAAUGGCUUAUGAUAAUGUGGGCAUGAAUGGCUGGAUGGGCAUUUGUGUUGAAAAUGUAUAAACUGUUGUUUGCAUUGAUAGGCUGGAUAAUGAUAAAAUUGCCAUGUCAUGCUAUUGAAUUUUUAUUGAAUUGGUGGGUUAUAGAUUGGUCACUGCAGUGGCGGGUUUUGUGGACCAGCUUUUUUGAAGGGCACGAAAUCCGGGUAUAUUCUUACCUCGAUUGAGGAGGCGCAUAAGGUAACUCCUGAGGUAAAACUUUAGAGUUCACUUCACGCCAAACCAGCACGUGAGGAUGAACUCAGCCAACGCCAAGGAACGGCUAUGUUUUCAAAAUAAAAACAUGAUUUAUGCCUACAUGACUUUUUAACAGUCUUGGCAGAUUCGGUUGGGAUAGCCCUAGGCCAAGGUAUCCCUGAGAACCGAGUAUGAGAAUGAUUUUGGCACGAGCCAAGCUUUUCAAUAAAUCAUAAGCCUCGUUGUUUAUUUGGGUGAAAUGAAUCUAUUUUAUCUUAUGAAAAUGAGUUUGAAAUGCUGUGAAUCAUUUUUAUGCUAAUUUAUUUUAUUUGUCUCCAUUUACUCAACUUUAGAUAUUUUAGAUGAUAUUUGUUUACUCAUUGGGAUUAUAUAAUCUCACCACCCUCCUUUCCACCCAUUCCGGGCUCAGGAUAGUCAGUAGAUAGCUCAUUUCGUUAAGGGCUACAGUUGGACUUGCAUCCUAAAAAAUUGUAGGUUCACAGCUUUCAUUAGUUUUAGUCAUUCGGGGGCCCACAUGUCAUUGUUAAAUAUUUUGAAUACUUGGCUGUGUGUGCUACUGUAUGUAGCAAUUUAUUUUGUUUUUACACUGUAAAAAUUAUUUACGUAGCGUUCUAUAAAAAUUAUUUUAUGAAAAAUUGGAAUAUUUUAUUCCAUUAGUUAUAAUUUCACUUUAAAUGAAUGUUUUAGAUAUCUAAACUUAUUUUCGAAUAUGAAAUGUGUAAAUUUCUCUCAUAUACUACAUUUUAGUUGGUUUCAAAAAUUUUAGGAAAAAUGACCAAAAUACCCCUAUGUAGUUGAAACUUUUCUUUCAUUGUUUGUGAAUUGAAAUUGGUUCAUAUCACUUUAAAACAUGAUUUUAGUAACUAAUACUCAUAGGGGAAGCGAGAAAACUGAUGUUAAGCCUUGCGAGGUUUCGAUUGGCAUUCCGGGUAAUGAAUGUCUAUC